UUCUCAGCUGGGAGUGGGAGUGACUUGUGAUGAUUAAACAAGUAAUAAUAUAUUAUCAUAUGUCAACAUGAUUCUUUUUUAUUUAUUUAUUUAUUUAUUUUUUUACUGGGAAUGUAAACUGUUUUCCUGCAAUCAGAGUUGAUCAUAGGGGAAAAAAUGCAGAAGCAAUGGUCCUGGAACAUUUGUGGGAAGUGAAGUGCUGGAGGCAAAGUUCCUUGCACAAGAGAUGAAGGACCUUGGUCCUCAAAUUUGGCUGAGGAAAGAGUGAUGGCUGUGAAAGAAGAAAAGAAUCAGACAGGCAUAACAGCAUUAUAUAAAAAGCAGAUGAGCAGACUCUCCAAGGGAGAGAGAAAGGAAACAGUUCCGUGAUUCUGUGACCUGAUGCUGUUAAGUGGGAAGCCCUCAGACCAAUCAACUAUGCUGUUCACUAGAAAUCAUUGUUCCUUUUCAACACUCAAGGAGACACAUGAACAACCAGGAAUGAACAACCCUUUUCACUGUUAACCGCCAAGAGACAACAGACAUCUUUUUCAAGCUGAUCAAAUGAUUUGAAUUUUUCAGGUGAGACCCAUGCCUGGAGACAUUCAUGAUUUCCUCUGAAAAAUUAUGAGAAGAGGUUGGAGUUAUACAAGACUGCAGAAAUAUUGUGAUGUCUUUCCUCAAGAAGAGAAAUACAGACGGAAAGAAAAAAACAGACUCUGACAUUAAGUAAGAGUGACUGAGUAGUCACGAAGCAGACCUGCAACAGUGGCUGUGUCUGCCCACAGGAGAGGAUCACUGGUGUAAGAAGCAAUUUUGUGUGGAUCCCCUGAUCUGCCAGGCUGGGGCACCAACCACAUCACACUCUAGCCUUCUUCCAACAAAGGCUGCUGCCUUGCCUUUGCAUGGCCUGCAGAGGCGGGAAAGAAAAGGUGGGGGGGGGCAUAGUGUACUAAAAGUAGCUGAGGAGGUACACAGUUAGGAGAGCUGGGAGCCCUCCAGGCUCCACAGUAUUGGUGUGGAGGAGAAUGCUGUGUUCACAGCAAGUGAAGUGCAGACAAAGCCAGUCUAUAUUUCAUACCUGUAAGUCAGUUAUAGACAGCAUUGGACCCCUCAUCGUGACCAUUUUGAACUGUAAACACAAGGCAUGGUGUCUGAAUUAUUUAUGCCUUGAAGCAAUACUAAAAUCAAAAUGGAUUUAUCAAGAACAAAUGAUUUCAGAUCCAUUUAAUUUCAUUCUUGGAAGAGGUAACAGCCCUUGUGUAUAAGAAGUAAAUUGUAGGUGUGAUAUUACUUGGCUCUAUUAACAGUUUUCAUGUCAUUAUGUAAUAUUUUCUUAAGCAACGAGGGAAAUGUGGUCAAUAAGAAAUAGUCAGAUAUGAUGCACAGUUAGCUGAAGGAAAAUCAGAGAACAGCUGUCAUUGGUUUGGUGUCAAAAUGGAAGGAAAUAUGAAGUGAGAGUUUUUCCUACACCUAAAACUGUUCAAAUUUCUCUAUUUACUAAAAGGUUUUGUGCUCUAAAAACAUGUAUAUUUUUCCCAAAAUGGUUUGCCAAAAAUGAUGGCAAAAUGAGAAAUCUGUAGGACAGACAGAGAACUCAAAAUUAACUUAUCAUAUUAGAGACACUGUCUGAAAAGGAUACUGUUCACUAGGGAUCAGUGCAAAAUGUUUAGUUAGGUUCAUCUUACCUAAACUUUGACAGUUUGUGAUCUAGUCUAAUACAGUCAAGGAGAGUCAACAUCCCCAAAGUCCUUGAUGUUGAAAAAUUAGCAAAAAUAAUUUACUGUUUUGAUUAGAGCAAAAGUAAAAUGUCACAUUUAGACAACAACCACUACAUGGUUUGCAGAUGCAUUGACUAUGAAACUACAAUAUCAUACAGCUCUGUAUAAAGCAAAAAUAUGAAAUAUAUUUUUUCUUUACGUAGACACUAAAAGAAACUCUAUUGAAGCACUAUGUCCAUUUCUGGCACUUGGUCUUUGAGAAAGAGGUGGAUCAGCUGAAGAAAUCAAUGAAAAAUAGAGUAAGAAUGAUACCUGAAAUAACAUAAUGUAUGAAAGAGAGUCAAAGGAAUGUGAGAUGUUUAGGGAGACAGAGGCUAGAUGGUUGUUAAUAUGAAGAAGGGAAUAGAUGGUUCCUCAUUGCAAACAUGUAAGAGGUGGUGGGGUAAAAUCUAUAUAGAAAGAUUUAGAUUGGUAUUGGAGAGAUAAAAGGCAGGAACAUCAACAUAUUGUUGAACAGAGCAUAGGGAGAUGGUGGAUCCUUCAAGGUUUAAAAACAGGGUAGAUGAACCACAGUUAAGAAUGACACUGUUUUGUUGGUCCUCUUUUAGAGAAGAGGAAUUAACCACAUGAUUUGCUGAGCUCCCUGUAGGACUUAUUUUCUGUGAUCUCUCAUUCUCAGAGCUUUCUCAUUUUUCUUAAGGGAGUGAUAGCAGUGUUGGAUAUGUAAUAAAUGUGCCUAAGAAAGUACAAAGUUGCCCAACACAAAUGCGAAAGAUCGAUCGAUAGACAUUGAUUAUUUUCUCAUGUCUACAGCCUUGGACAUGUUGUGUUAGUGAAACAAUUCUAUUUUGUCAUUGAAUGACAAGUAAAUCAUACCUGGUUUCAGUAAUAACCCUGCAGAUUGUACUAUCAUUUCAGAGAGAAUUAUUUAUAUCCUCAGAGAUGUUAUUUAUACCCAAAGCCCUCUGAUGAUGUCAGUUGGCAUCAAAACACAUACAAGAUGUACCACAUAUACAAGAUAUACAAGAUACACAGGAUGUGCCUUGUGGACCCAUGUGCUGUGCCAUUUACAAGGAAAAUGGAUAGGAAUUAAGUGUUUAGGGAUAGAUGGUAUUUCAAUAGGGUGAAUUCUCUAACCAACUCCAUACUAGUAAACCUUACUGAUAUGGCUUCUGGUAGAAAUUCAUUUAGAGCACUGAAAUAACAAUAUCAGCUAUGUCAGUAUUGAACCGCCUUUGCCUUUUCAUCAGCAAAUUAGAAAUUGCAUGGAUUCAUGCUUACUGGCAAGGAGUGUUUUUUGAUAUCGUGCAGAAGUCAAAAGUCACUCUUUAUUUAGAGCAAUAGUAAUCUCCACUUCUGAAGACUUUCACAUAUAGUAAAAGUAAGAAAGAGGUUAUAUUCUUCUUCUGUUUCUGUAUUAUUCUUCUGUAUCUGCCUUGAGAUACCAGCAUAGCCACAUCCUACUUUGCUAGUUCCCUGUCUUAACACUGGAGUUUGGCUCUCAUCAGACCUUCUGCACUCUGCUGGGAAUAAAGGAGAAUCUAUUUCAUUUCCUCCACAUAUUUCUGUCUUCAAACUGAAGACCUCAGAACUGCCCAGCUGUGGGUCAUGCCAAAAUGCAUUAACAUUUUUGUUAAUGCAUUUAUGUAAUGUAUGUUAAUGUAUGUGAACAGUAUAUACAUGUGUGGAAGGCAUCAGGCAUCUUAUAUCCAGUGCCAGAGUGAAACAUCUUGGGAUGUCUGUGUCAGUAUAACUGUUUUCUGCUCUCUUGAUUGCCCUGUGGACAAUCUAGUGCCUAACUUGUACGGCAUGCCUAGCUUCACAUACUUAGACAUGUAAGACUCCCUGCAGCUCAUCUGGUGAAAAAGAUACACUAAUUACAUCCUGACAGGAAUCUUGGGGUACCCUUAACAGAUACAGUCUGAGAUGGUCAUCAAUAUAGUCACAGAGAUUUCAGUUUCAGAAGAUAAAAGAGACCUGUUACCAGUCAAGGCAGAGAAAACAGUAACUUCAGUUGUUCUGGGACAGACUAUUUUAUUUUAUUUUAUUUUAUUUUAUUUUAUUUUAUUUUAUUUUAUUUUAUUUUAUUUUAUUUAUUUAUUUUCUGGAUAUUUACUUAGUGUCACUUCUCUAGCCACACCAAUCUGAAAAGGUGUCAAAAUGCUGUACAAAUUAGUCACUGAAAAAAUUAAGCCCUGUAGUGAAAAAAAAAAAAAAAGCAUCAACAGUUCAUCCUUAGGAAUGAAGACAACUAAAAGUAACUUAUUAUGUUGAAAAUAACAGCAUAAUUACAACCAUAGAAAUAAAAUAGCUUUUGAGAAAAAAAAACACAUGAUAACACCAUGUUUUUUCUGAUGGGCCACUGGCAUAAGAUAUUUUGUCAUAAUAUAUAAUUUUUCAAAUGCAAAUGAAAUGUAUACAUAGUAAUUAACAAAAAGAAAUCAUGAACACAUAUUUAAUAAUAAAAAUAUCAGAUUCCUACAGAAUAUAGUUAAUUUUUGUUCAAUUUACAAAACUGGUUAUGUGCUAGCAGUUUUCUUUGAAAACUUUGACAAAGAAAUAUAUUUUCUUUUUCAGCUCUGUACAGAUAUGUUUUCACAUAAAUGCUCUUUUAUUUUAUAAUUUACUUUUUUUCCACUAUCCUUUUGAGGACCCAAGAAAAUAAGAACGGGAUUCUAAGGGUUUCUGGAAAGAAAACUCAAACAGGAAAUACUAGCUUUUUCUGAGUCUGAGCCAACUAAAAAUAGUCUCAGCAUUUGUGGAUUUUUUUUUUUCAUGUCUUUCUUUCUUUCUCUCUUUCUUUAAGUAAUUUAUUUAUUUUAUAUCUUCUUUUCCUUAUACUACUAUUUUGUCUUUAAGCCUUUAUUAGAAUGCAUGGGUUCAGCAAACUACUUCAAAACUCAACUCAGAGAAGCAAGAGAGGUACAGAAUUCUCUUCUUGGAAGUAGUAGAGAUGCUCAGAUCACUGAGAUUGUACAAGUAAUAUAGCACACUCUCACAAAAUAAGUCUGAAAACAUGUUUGGGUAUGUAAAUUUCUACCAACAUAAACUUACAAUGUCAUUUGUUCAAGCAGAGGACAGGACAGCAAUACCCCGGGAUAUCAUUGUUGGACAACAAUACUGACCUAUACUGUUCCCUAGGGCUUCUUGUGCUACCCCAGGGAAACCACUCUGAAGUUCCCUGUCCUCAGCUGUCCAUUGGUUAAAUAUAAUGUUGGCACACAGAGCUCUUGCCAGAUGAAAAUUUGAGGUACUGUGUGAUACAAUAUUAAAAUGACUCUGUAAAAGUACCUCUAAAGGAAUCUGUUUUCUAAAUUAUGUGCUGUAAGCUUUAAAUAAAUUUGAAGCUUUUGAUGAGAAGUCAGUAUGUAAAGGCAAUUGCAUUACUUUCUGAUCACUGAUGUUUUUCUAGCAGAAAUUCAUCAUAUUUCAAUCAAUGACCGUCUAGUCAAGAGCAAACAUCUUAGAAAUUUUAAUGGGAAAGGUAUUUUGCUUUAUAAGACAAUCAUAAUAAAAAGGCUUUUUUUUUUUUUUUUUUUUUUAAUUUAAAGCAAAAUUAUAGCAAAAAUUGAUUAUUUUGGGGGUAAGAUAUAGCUUAGAGACAGAGGGAAGAAAGAUUAUGGUUUUCCACUUUAAAAUGUAGAAGAAUAUACUUUAAGAACUGUUGGCACUAAAGAGGCAUUAGUACUUCGUCCAGUAGAGAGAAACAAGUACUUUGCCAAAUCUGGAUGUCUGGGUUCAGAACCAUGUAUUCAGGUUCUGGUGCAUUCAAAUUUCACACAUUAUGGAAUUUUUUAAGGUCAUUUAAAAAAUUCUGUCUGUUUCUUCAAUUAAAUUCAUAUUUUUGAAUACUUGCUGGUGGAAUUAACACACAUUAAUCUGACAAGGUUAAUUUCUUCUAUUAUUAUUAUUAUUAUUUAUUUUUUUUUGGAGUCUACUUUCUUACCUGGUAGUAGUAGAGCUCUGGAAUAAAAAAAAAAAAAUAAAAUAAAAAAACAAAACAAACAAACAAACAAAAAACUUUAAAAAUAAAAGUAGGCUGUAGGAAUGUUAUAAUGUGUUAUUGUUGAAUUGCUGUAUAAAAGGUUAAAAAAGCACAUUUAUGGAAAAGAAAAUCAGAAGUCACAUGUGACAAUAAUAUGGAAGUAAAAUUUUGCAUUAUAUACCUACUUGAAGACAUUUUAUUUCUCUGUUAUUUAAAUGCUUAAUUUGAUACUAUUGUGGCCAUAAUGACAGUAAAAUGAAUAUUAGAUAACAGUUAUUUCAUGUGAAAUGGGAUAUCUUCUUGGAACCUUAAAUGUCUUUUAUCUUUUAAGAUAUUAAAGAAAUUGCAGACUCA
Long non-coding RNA from Anas platyrhynchos (mallard), 6039 nucleotides. RefSeq lists it as uncharacterized. The record is from RefSeq and is a predicted model, not a curated record. NCBI's taxonomy places the organism in Eukaryota, Metazoa, Chordata, Aves, Anseriformes, Anatidae.